This 429-nucleotide long non-coding RNA is filed under the name Vigna radiata. RNAcentral's name for it is "long non-coding RNA (VRAD_LNC008239)". Lineage: Eukaryota; Viridiplantae; Streptophyta; Magnoliopsida; Fabales; Fabaceae. The record is from RNAcentral.
GAUACGCGGGGCCCAAGCCCAAUUUCAUUAGUUUAGUAAUUCUUUUAUGUACUUUGUAUUGUGUUAGGCAUGUGGGACUUCUAGUCCUAUAAAUAGCCAUGCUUACACUUCUUGUACUUACUUUUGAGAUAAUUGAAUUGUUUACUGUUGAGAAUUACUCCAGAGCAAUUCUACCUUGAAAGUCAAGGCUAGAGAAUCCCAAAGGAUCUCCUCUAGCCACCUUCCAUCUCACACUUACCAUUCUCUUAUUUCUCCUCGUCAGAUUCUCUUUCCUCCGUAACAUCACCUCACCAUUCCCUGCUUGGCACGCGUCACGCAUCGCUGCCACACGAGCCUAUUACUCGAAGGCUCCAAAGAUCAUCAACAUUUCACUCUCUCGCCAACAUUCCAGAGCUCUCGUGUUAUAUCCUUCGCAGAGCAUCAUCCACC